RNAcentral lists this ribosomal RNA (253 nucleotides) under uncultured bacterium. RNAcentral's name for it is "partial 16S ribosomal RNA". It matches the Rfam family "Bacterial small subunit ribosomal RNA", at positions 524 to 776 of the family's 1533-position model. The record is from RNAcentral.
UACGGAGGAUGCAAGCGUUAUCCGGAAUGAUUGGGCGUAAAGCGUCCGCAGGUGGCUGUGUAAGUCUGCUGUUAAAGAGUGAGGCUCAACCUCAUAAAGGCAGUCGAAACUACAUGGCUAGAGUGCGUUCGGGGCAGAGGGAAUUCCUGGUGUAGCGGUGAAAUGCGUAGAGAUCAGGAAGAACACCGGUGGCGAAAGCGGCUCUCUGGGACGGUACUGACGCUGAGACGCGAAAGCGUGGGGAGCAAACAGG